UGCCCAUUCGCAGGUUAAGGGUGGGCAUAGCUCUGGAGAAAUCGAAUUGAUUCACGUUGAAUUUCCAACGUGAGUUCUACGCAUGCUCGGCAAUGUUGCAAAAUAUAAAUAAAGUAUUUAGAAUUUCGCGUCGAAAAUUUGAUACAUUUUACACUGAAAUCGAAUUGAAAACAACUAAAAAUUCUGGGGGAAAUUAUGUACGAAAGGUUCGGUUGGAUAGGGAUACAGCUACCUGAAAAAUACAAGGAGAACUUUGACGUUUCGAGCGAAGGCGCUUCGAUCUUUACUGUUAGUGUUUGUAUACAUCGUACUUGACCUUUGCUGAUAAAUAUAAUCUCCUCAAUAAUAAGUAUUAUAUAUUUUUAUGCUUUAAAAUUUACAUUUAAUUCUUCUGUCAGAAUUUCGUGGGUAGAAUGUCGUGGGUCGUGGGUAGAAUGUCGUGGGUCGUGGGUAAAAAGUCGUGGGUCGUGGGUAAAAAGUCGUAAGUCGUGGGUAAAAAGGCGUGGGUCGUGGGUAAAAAGGCGUGGGUCGUGGGUAAAAAGGUGCGGGUCGUGGGUAAAAAGGCGUGGGUCGUGGGUAAAAAGGCGUGGGUCGUGGGUAAAAAGGCGUGGGUCGUGGGUAAAAAGGCGUGGGUCGUGGGUAAAAAGGCGUGGGUCGUGGGUAAAAAGGCGUGGGUCGUGGGUAAAAAGGCGUGGGUCGUGGGUAAAAAGGCGUGGGUCGUGGGUAAAAAAUCGUGGGUCCCGAAUAAAAAGUCGUGAAUUCCAAGCAAAAUAUUUCCAUAUAUUUACCUUUCUC
Molecule: non-coding RNA, 795 nt
Organism: Paramuricea clavata
Lineage: Eukaryota; Metazoa; Cnidaria; Anthozoa; Malacalcyonacea; Plexauridae
Source: the annotation of a GenBank genome assembly